UACAGAGGGUGCGAGCGUUGUUCGGAAUUAUUGGGCGUAAAGGGCGCGUAGGCGGUGCGGUAAGUCACCUGUGAAAUCUCCUGGCUCAACUGGGAGCUUGCAGGCGAAACUGCCGUGCUGGAGUGUGGGAGAGGUGAGUGGAAUUCCCGGUGUAGCGGUGAAAUGCGUAGAUAUCAAGAGGAACACCAGUGGCGAAGGCGAGUCCCUGGACAACACCUGACACUGAGGCACGAAAGCUAGGGGAGCAAACGGG
This 253-nucleotide ribosomal RNA is filed under the name uncultured bacterium. RNAcentral's name for it is "partial 16S ribosomal RNA". It matches the Rfam family "Bacterial small subunit ribosomal RNA", at positions 524 to 776 of the family's 1533-position model. The record is from RNAcentral.